Molecule: ribosomal RNA, 639 nt
Filed under: uncultured bacterium
Lineage: Bacteria
Description: bacterial SSU rRNA
Rfam family: Bacterial small subunit ribosomal RNA (bases 1-546)
Source: RNAcentral
CCUACGGGAGGCAGCAGUGGGGAAUUUUGGACAAUGGGCGAAAGCCUGAUCCAGCCAUUCCGCGUGAGUGAAGAAGGCCUUCGGGUUGUAAAGCUCUUUCGCAAGGGAAGAAAACUUAGAUACUAAUAUUAUCUGAGGUUGACGGUACCUUGAUAAGAAGCACCGGCUAACUACGUGCCAGCAGCCGCGGUAAUACGUAGGGUGCGAGCGUUAAUCGGAAUUACUGGGCGUAAAGCGUGCGCAGGCGGUUUUUGUAAGUCAGAUGUGAAAUCCCCGAGCUCAACUUGGGAACUGCGUUUGAAACUACAAGACUAGAAUAUGUCAGAGGGGGGUAGAAUUCCACGUGUAGCAGUGAAAUGCGUAGAGAUGUGGAGGAAUACCAAUGGCGAAGGCAGCCCCCUGGGAUAAUAUUGACGCUCAUGCACGAAAGCGUGGGGAGCAAACAGGAUUAGAUACCCUGGUAGUCCACGCCCUAAACGAUGUCUACUAGUUGUUGGUGGAGUAAAAUCCAUGAGUAACCGNAGCUAACGCGUGAAGUAGACCGCCGCGGGAGGUACGGUCGGUCGAAGAAGUUAAACGUUAACGUAAAGUUAAAGUUAGUAGGCGNGNGAGNGCGACGGACGACGACGAGGGAGGAGG